UGAAGAUUAGGUAGUACUAAUUGGAGGACCGAACCCAAUACUGUUGCAAAAGUAUGGGAUGAGCUGUGGAUCGGAGUGAAAGGCUAAUCAAGCACGGAGAUAGCUGGUUCUCCCCGAAAACUAUUUAGGUAGUGCCUCGUGUAUAACUCAUUGGGGUAAAGCACUGUUUCGACAAUGGGGGUUUUACGACCUUACUGACUCGAUGCAAACUCAGAAUACGAUGAAGUUCGAUCACGGGAGACACACUGCGGGUGCUAAGGUCCGCAGUGGAAAGGGAAACAGCCCAGACCGCCAACUAAGGUCCCAAAGUCAUAGCUAAGUGGGAAACGAAGUGGGAAGGCCCAGACAGCCAGGAGGUUGGCUUAGAAGCAGCCACCCUUUAAAGAAAGCGUAAUAGCUCACUGGUCGAGUCGGCCUGCACGUAAGAUUUAACGGGGCUAAGCUAUGCACUGAAGUUGCGGAAUAUAUUUAGUAUAUUGGUAGGGGAGCGUUCUGUAAGCCGAUGAAGGUGAAUUGAGAAGUUUGCUGGAGGUAUCAGAAGUGCGAAUGCUGACAUGAGUAACGUAAAAUAAGUGAGAUUCUUAUUGGCCGAAAACCCAAGGGUUCCUACGCAAUGUUAAUCAACGUAGGGUAAGCCGGCCCCUAAGGCGUAGCUGAAGAGUGAAGUCGAUGGGAAACAGGUUAAUAUUCCUGUGCUGCUUAUAUGAACGAAGGAGGGACGGAGAAGGUUAGGUAGGCCUGGCGAAUGGUUGUCCAGGUGAAAGUAUGUAGGUAGGAAUGCUAGGCAAAUCCGGUGUUCUGUUGAUCUGAGAUACGAGACGAAGUUAAACUUGUUUGACGAAGCUAUUGAUACCAUGCUUCCAGGAAAAGCUUCUAAGUAUAUUGUAUAAGUGACCGUACUGUAAACCGACACUGGUGGGUAGGUAGAGAAUACUAAGGCUAUGAGAUAACUCUGGUGAAGGAACUAGGCAAAAUGACACCGUAACUUUGGAAGAAGGUGUGCCCUUGAUGGUGAUGAGACUUGCUCUUUGAGCUGUUGGGGGUUGCAGAUACCAGGUGGCUGCGACUGUUUAUCAAAAACACAGCACUCUGCGAAAUCGUAAGAUGAAGUAUAGGGUGUGACGCCUGCCCGGUGCUGGAAGGUUAAUUGAAGGGGUUAGCGCAAGCGAAGCUCUGGAUCGAAGCCCCAGUAAACGGCGGCCGUAACUAUAACGGUCCUAAGGUAGCGAAAUUCCUUGUCGGGUAAGUUCCGACCUGCACGAAUGGCGUAACGAUGGCCACACUGUCUCCACCAGAGACUCAGUGAAAUUGAAAUCGCUGUGAAGAUGCAGUGUACCCGCGGUUAGACGGAAAGACCCCGUGAACCUUUACUAUAGCUUUGCACUGGACUUUGAAUAUUUAUGUGUAGGAUAGGUGGGAGACCAUGAAGCAGCUACGCCAGUAGUUGUGGAGUCGUCCUUGAAAUACCACCCUUGAAUAUUUGAAGUUCUAACUCAGGAGAGAUUCGAGGACAGUGUAUGGUGGGUAGUUUGACUGGGGCGGUCUCCUCCUAAAGAGUAACGGAGGAGUACGAAGGUGCACUCGGUACGGUCGGAAAUCGUGCCAAGAGUAUAAAGGCAAAAGUGCGCUUGACUGCGAGAGUGACGGCUCGAGCAGGUACGAAAG
Molecule: ribosomal RNA, 1665 nt
Filed under: Francisella tularensis
Lineage: Bacteria; Pseudomonadati; Pseudomonadota; Gammaproteobacteria; Thiotrichales; Francisellaceae
Description: partial 23S ribosomal RNA
Rfam family: Bacterial large subunit ribosomal RNA
Source: RNAcentral